Molecule: non-coding RNA, 23 nt
Filed under: Rattus norvegicus (Norway rat)
Lineage: Eukaryota; Metazoa; Chordata; Mammalia; Rodentia; Muridae
Source: RNAcentral
UGAAGCAUCGGUGCCCUCUGCCA